AAAGGGGCAGGUGUCACCGUGCCAGCUCGCUUGCGGCAUCUUUUGAUGUCUCUUAACAGAGCUGGGACUGGUCGUCCCUUGGAGAAGAGAGCUUGAGGCCAGACUAUUACCACAGCUGAGUGCUCCUCACCGUGUGGAAGGGCCGUUGUCAUUCACAUCCGGUGAGAAAAAGCAGCAAAGGAAACCGUCCUCUCCCUGGAAUGCCGGUCCACCAUCUGUCCAGCAAAUAGUCUUGGCCCACUCUCUACUUCUCUUGUUUAUUUUGGCCUUGCAGAUUUCUCCCACGAAAGCCCAUGGGAUUUUGUGGAAUUCAUCCUCAAAUCCCAGGUCUUGUUUUAGGACAGAUGGUGAGCCCCAAGGCUGCUGUGCUCCAACUGCUGGAUGCUACCACUGGGAAAGUGGGGUGUGGGGGGGAAACAGGGACCUCUCGCUCUUUCUUUCUACAUCUUCAUGGGAAGCUUUCACUAUCUGAACAUAAAAACUCUAGAUUAAAAGCGGGCAAGUGUGUCCAUAUUGUGAUCUUA
This is a non-coding RNA of Rattus norvegicus (Norway rat), 524 nucleotides long. The record is from RefSeq and is a predicted model, not a curated record. NCBI's taxonomy places the organism in Eukaryota, Metazoa, Chordata, Mammalia, Rodentia, Muridae.